UGGCUACAAAAUAACAUAUUCUGUAGCCACUUUAAGAUACGAUAAUAACUAUGUUAAUUUAUGAGAUUAUAGUAACUUCUUACUAAGUGCUUUGCUAUAAUGUUACGGUAAAUAUCUCCAUGUGUUAUAGUAACCCAACUAUAGUAAAUAUGUAUACAUAUUAUCGUAAAUUAGUAUAUAAAAUCAACGUAAAUAGAAGUGGCUACAGAAUAACUUAUUUUGUAGCUA
Molecule: microRNA precursor, 228 nt
Filed under: Sorghum bicolor (sorghum)
Lineage: Eukaryota; Viridiplantae; Streptophyta; Magnoliopsida; Poales; Poaceae
Description: MIR6217 microRNA precursor family
Rfam family: MIR6217 microRNA precursor family
Source: Rfam by way of RNAcentral